Molecule: ribosomal RNA, 513 nt
Filed under: uncultured bacterium
Lineage: Bacteria
Description: bacterial SSU rRNA
Rfam family: Bacterial small subunit ribosomal RNA
Source: RNAcentral
UGCAACGCGAAGAACCUUACCAAGGCUUGACAUACACCGGAAACGGCCAGAGAUGGUCGCCCCCUUGUGGUCGGUGUACAGGUGGUGCAUGGUUGUCGUCAGCUCGUGUCGUGAGAUGUUGGGUUAAGUCCCGCAACGAGCGCAACCCUCGUUCUAUGUUGCCAGCGCGUUAUGGCGGGGACUCAUAGGAGACUGCCGGGGUCAACUCGGAGGAAGGUGGGGAUGACGUCAAAUCAUCAUGCCCCUUAUGUCUUGGGCUUCACGCAUGCUACAAUGGCCGGUACAAAGGGCUGCGAUACCGUAAGGUGGAGCGAAUCCCAAAAAGCCGGUCUCAGUUCGGAUUGAGGUCUGCAACUCGACCUCAUGAAGUCGGAGCCGCUAGUAAUCGCAGAUCAGCAACGCUGCGGUGAAUACGUUCCCGGGCCUUGUACACACCGCCCGUCAAGUCAUGAAAGUCGGUAACACCCGAAGCCGGUGGCCUAACCCUUGUGGAAGGAGCCGUCGAAGGUGGGA